ACGAACGCUGGCGGCAUGCCUAACACAUGCAAGUCGAACGAGACCUUCGGGUCUAGUGGCGCACGGGUGCGUAACGCGUGGGAACCUGCCCUUAGGUUCGGAAUAACUCCCCGAAAGGGGUGCUAAUACCGGAUAAUGUCUUCGGACCAAAGAUUUAUCGCCUUUGGAUGGGCCCGCGUUGGAUUAGCUAGUUGGUAGGGUAAAAGCGUACCAAGGCGACGAUCCAUAGCUGGUCUGAGAGGAUGAUCAGCCACACUGGGACUGAGACACGGCCCAGACUCCUACGGGAGGCAGCAGUGGGGAAUAUUGGACAAUGGGCGAAAGCCUGAUCCAGCAAUGCCGCGUGAGUGAUGAAGGCCUUAGGGUUGUAAAGCUCUUUUACCCGGGAUGAUAAUGACAGUACCGGGAGAAUAAGCUCCGGCUAACUCCGUG
RNAcentral lists this ribosomal RNA (432 nucleotides) under uncultured bacterium. Its description in RNAcentral is "partial 16S ribosomal RNA". It matches the Rfam family "Bacterial small subunit ribosomal RNA", at positions 29 to 507 of the family's 1533-position model. The record is from RNAcentral.